Molecule: ribosomal RNA, 1515 nt
Filed under: Triticum aestivum (bread wheat)
Lineage: Eukaryota; Viridiplantae; Streptophyta; Magnoliopsida; Poales; Poaceae
Description: partial small subunit ribosomal RNA
Source: RNAcentral
AUGAAGCGCAUAGCAUACUUUAUCCUCACGUUCGCUCUGGAAACUGAAAAAAUAAUCCGUGAUCAAUUCGUCUUCCCACAGCCACGUCCUAAAAUGAAAGAGGCAAACCAAGGAGCCUGCGACAGAGAGUCGCGGAGGACAGUCGUCAUGUACCCUGCGCCUGGCGCAGGCCAUUUGAUCCCCACGGUGGAGUUUGGCAGGCUGCUUGUGUCGCAUGGCCUCGCGGUCAUCGUCGUUCAGCGUGGCCUUCCGGCCGGCAACGCCACAGCUCCCGCGUCCUCCCUGUACGGCAACGGCGACGCUUCAGCCAGCCCCUUUCUCUCUUUCCACUACAUCCCGGAGCCGCCACUCCCGCACGGGGUGCCGGAGGGCGACCAUGUGGCCAAGGUUUUCGAGCUUACACGCGCUUCCAACCCUGAGCUCCGUGAUUUCCUCCGCGUCACCUCCCCGGCGGCCCUCCUCCUCGACUUCUUCUGCUACAGCGCCGCCGAUGUCGCGGCAGAGAUCGGCAUCCCGGCGUAUUUCUUCUUCCAGAGUUGCACGGCCAGCCUGGCUGUAUUGCUCCACCUGCCCGUCAUCCACGGGCAAAACGAUGUGAGCAUGCGUGACCUCGGCGGCGAGCUCGUGCACGUGCCUGGCGUCACUCCUAUACCGGCGCACGACCUCCCCGCUGCUUUCCUCGAUCGGAGCAGCCUGAGCUAUAAGCAUUUCCUCGCCUUGUCCGAACAGCUGUGCAAGUCGCACGGCGUUAUUGUGAACAGCUGCCGAUCCCUGGAGCCGCGCGCCACCGACGCCGUCGCCUCCGGCCUCUGCACGCCCCCGGGGCGCACGACACCGCCCUUAUUUUGUGUCGGCCCACUGGUACAAUCUGCGGAGGUAGCCGAGAAGCAAGGCGAAGAGUGCCUUGCGUGGCUAGACACGCAGCCGAAGGCCAGCGUGCUGUUCCUCUGCUUCGGCAGUAUGGGUCGGUUCAGCGCCGAGCAGAUCAAGGAGAUGGCGGCGGGUCUGGAGAUGAGUGGCCAACGGUUCCUCUGGGUCGUACGCAGCCCGCCGGGCGGCAACGAGCAGCCGGGCGAGCCGGAGCUGGACGUGCUGCUCCCGAAUGGCUUCCUGGACAGGACUAAGGACAGAGGGCUGGUGGUCACGUCGUGGGCGCCGCAGCGGGAAGUGCUGGCCCACGAAACAGUGGGCGGGUUCGUGACCCAUUGCGGGUGGAACUCGGUGCUGGAGGCGGUCAUGGCGGGUGUGCCGAUGCUGGGGUGGCCGCUGUACGCGGAGCAGCGGAUGAACAAGGUAUUUUUGGUGGAGGGGAUGCAGCUAGGCGUGGCGAUGGAACCAGGCCCAGAUGGCUUCGUGACGGCAAAGGAGAUCGAGGGGAAGGUCACUUGGCUGAUGAGUUCUGAUGGCGGGAGGGAGCUUCGGGAGCGUACUUUGGUGGCCAUGAGAGAGGCAAGGGAGGCCCUCAGCGCCGGUGGGGAUUCCACGGCGGCACUUCUGCAGCUCGUGCAAAGGUGA